Molecule: ribosomal RNA, 254 nt
Filed under: uncultured bacterium
Lineage: Bacteria
Description: partial 16S ribosomal RNA
Rfam family: Bacterial small subunit ribosomal RNA
Source: RNAcentral
UACGUAGGGUGCGAGCGUUAAUCGGAAUUACUGGGCGUAAAGCGUGCGCAGGCGGCUUCGCAAGUCAGACGUGAAAUCCCCCGGGCUUAACCUGGGAAUGGCGUUUGAAACUACGGAGCUGGAGUAUGGCAGAGGGGGGUGGAAUUCCACGUGUAGCGGUGAAAUGCGCAGAUAUCAGGAGGAACACCAAUAGCGAAGGCAGCUCGCUGGGACGGUACUGACGCUGAGGCGCGAAAGCGUGGGGAGCAAACAGG